GGGUUGGUAGCUCAGUCGGUAGAGCAACGGCCUUUUAAGCCGAUGGUCGCGGGUUCGAAUCCCGCCCAACCCACCA
This 76-nucleotide transfer RNA is filed under the name Candidatus Peregrinibacteria bacterium CG10_big_fil_rev_8_21_14_0_10_36_19. RNAcentral's name for it is "tRNA-Lys". It matches the Rfam family "tRNA". Rfam says of the family: Transfer RNA (tRNA) molecules are approximately 80 nucleotides in length. The record is from RNAcentral. Lineage: Bacteria; Candidatus Peregrinibacteriota.